UUGAUUAUUUCACAAAAUGGGUGGAAGCUUAUCCACUGGCCUCAAAAACAGCAGAUGUCGUCACAGCUUGCAUUGUGCAAAUGAUUUAUCGGUUUGGGGCACCAAAAAGGAUACUAACAGACCAAGGGAGGGAAUUUGUUAACCAGAUCAACAAAGAAGUUUGUGAAUUGUUCGGCAUAAAACGCAGCCUGUGUUCGCCAUACCAUCCACAAACCAACGGAUUAGUGGAAAAGAUGAAUGGCACCAUACAGAGGAACCUAGGAAAACUGUGCAAGGACAAACCACAAACAUGGGAGAAAUACCUUGAUGCUGUGCUUUUUAAC
Molecule: long non-coding RNA, 323 nt
Organism: Colossoma macropomum (tambaqui)
Lineage: Eukaryota; Metazoa; Chordata; Actinopteri; Characiformes; Serrasalmidae
Exons: 3
Source: RefSeq, a predicted model, not a curated record